GCAUUUUUGAUUAACGCCCGCCGUUGGCGGGCCUCACCUGAG
This 42-nucleotide non-coding RNA is filed under the name Sodalis glossinidius str. 'morsitans'. Its description in RNAcentral is "nuoG RNA". It matches the Rfam family "nuoG RNA". Lineage: Bacteria; Pseudomonadati; Pseudomonadota; Gammaproteobacteria; Enterobacterales; Bruguierivoracaceae. The record is from RNAcentral.